This 1812-nucleotide small RNA is filed under the name Pongo abelii (Sumatran orangutan). Its description in RNAcentral is "retained intron". Lineage: Eukaryota; Metazoa; Chordata; Mammalia; Primates; Hominidae. The record is from RNAcentral.
UUUUCAUUGGCGGGUCCGCCGCCCGCCCCGCCGCGGUCGAGGAUCCUGGAGGUUUGUCCCCACCGCCCCGACGCUUCCGCCCCAUCCGUCGGCACGUCGGCCCUGCCUCCCAGACCACCCUGCGGGGCGCACCAGCGAUCUGGAGUGCGGGGCUCGGCCUCCCUGCGCUCCUGGCUGACGGUGUGACCUUGGGUCUUAACCAUGAACUUCUCUGGAGGAAGGAGGCAGGAAGCAGCAGGGUCCAGGGGUAGAAGGGGUCCCAGACCCCGAGAACAGGACCGAGACGUGCAGCUGUCCAAGGCUCUGUCCUAUGCCCUGCGCCAUGGGGCCUUGAAGCUGGGGCUUCCCAUGGGAGCUGGUAAGUGGGGGCCUUGGAGGCUGGGGCUUGAGCCCAGAGAGAAACGUGAGCCUGUCUGCGACUCCGCCCCCACGGCUGCCUCCACUGCUCCCUGAGGAAGGCACAGAGGGCACUUCCUCCCCAUGCACAGAGGAGAGCAAGGCCUAGAGCCCCUGUCAUGUCCACAGCAGACUGAGGAGAGUUCUUGUCUGGGCCAGGCCUGGUGACCGCCCCCUCCAGCCAAGCAGCCAGGUCAGCACUUACCCCGAGGGCGUGCCCUGGAGGGUAUGGCGCAGCUGGUGUUGUGAGUGUGCACUCCGGGCCAGCGCUAUGCUGAGCACUCACCUCCCUGCCCCUCCGUGAGGCAGAUCCUCUUUUUAUGUAAGUUGAAAAAACUGGGGCCCAGAAAGGGGAGACUUUCUAAAGGUCCCACAGAGGAUGCCCGAGCGAUCUCCAAGCCCAGACUUUGUUUCGGUUGCCUAUGGCUCCCUGUUAACCCUGGCCCAGUCCAGAGCAAGGUUGGCUCCUGAGCACCCUGCCUGCCCACAGACGGCUUCGUGCCCCUGGGCGCCCUCCUGCAGUUGCCCCAGUUCCGCGGCUUCUCUGCUGAAGAUGUGCAGCGCGUGGUGGACACCAAUAGGAAGCAGCGGUUCGCCCUGCAGCCCGGGGAUCCCAGCACUGGCCUUCUCAUCCGGGCCAACCAGGGCCAUUCCCUGCAGGUACCUAAGUUGGAGCUGAUGCCCCUGGAGACACCGCAGGCCCUGCCCCCGAUGCUAGUCCAUGGUACAUUCUGGAAGCACUGGCCAUCCAUCCUACUCAAGGGCCUGUCCUGCCAGGGAAGGACACACAUCCACCUGGCCCCAGGACUGCCUGGAGACCCCGGUGUCAUCAGUGGUCAGUGCCCUCCCCUCCACCUAGCUACUCCCACCCACUCUGUCCUCCCAGGUCCCCUUCAAAGGUUACAACACUUGUCUGGGGUCACCCCAUGCCUGGCAUGGAGCAGCACCCCUGCAUCCCCCAGCCCAGGAGUCCAGUCUGCCCAGGUUGCUGACUGCACUCCAGGUGCCCAGGCCUCAGCUCCAGCUGUCUCUGCAGGCAUGCGGCCCCAUUGUGAAAUAGCUGUGUUCAUCGAUGGCCCCCUGGCUCUGGCAGGUGAGUCUGGACAAAGCAGGGCCUGCCCUUGCCUUCGGGGAGGGCAUGAGUCACAUCUCUGGCUCUGUCAACAGAUGGAAUACCCUUCUUCCGCUCUGCCAAUGGGGUGAUUCUGACUCCAGGGAAUACUGAUGGCUUCCUGCUUCCCAAGUACUUCAAGGAGGCCCUGCAGCUACGCCCUACCCGAAAGCCCCUUUCCUUGGCUGGUGAUGAAGAGACAGAGUGUCAGUGUAGCCCCAAGCACAGCUCCAGAGAAAGGAGGAGGAUCCAACAAUAAAAUAUUAAUUUAUAAAAAAGAAAUUUUAAAAAGUAACAAGAAAGAA